UUUCCGUAGGUGAACCUGCGGAAGGAUCAUUCUUAAUAAGUGUUCUAUGGCACUUUUUAAAUCCAUAUCCACCUUGUGUGCAAUGUCAGUCGUCCUCUUCUAUGGGAACGACCAAACAUCAACCAACUCUUUAACUCUUUGUCUGAAAAAUAUUACGUAUAAAAUAAUUCAAAAUACAACUUUCAACAACGGAUCUCUUGGCUCUC
RNAcentral lists this unclassified non-coding RNA (206 nucleotides) under plant metagenome. RNAcentral describes it as "partial contains small subunit ribosomal RNA, internal transcribed spacer 1, and 5.8S ribosomal RNA". The record is from RNAcentral.